GGGGGAUUUUAAGAAAGAAGCUGCCUGAGUAAAACUGCUUUAAGAACCGGUGGUUGGCAAGUGGUGCCGAAGAAACCCGGGACCCCCACCAAAGAGGUUCAGAACUUUCUGCAAUCAGGGUCUGUCAACAGGAUGAGUACGAGAUUUGAAGUUCACACCAUACAGAUUUUUCUGUUGCUUGGUUAGAGUCACACCAAGGUGAAACUAAUGAAUGACAAUAAACAGGGUCAAUUGCUAAAGGAGAAGAAUCACUGUGGAUGAUGAACUGAUGGCUGUACUGUAAAUAAUAUACAAUUCAUAUAGUAGCAUCUUCAGACAAGUGAGAAACACACUAAACCUGAAAUCAAAUGAUGAAUCAAGAAGCAGAAAAAGAAAUGCAUCAAGCUAAAAAUUAAAUGACUCGCACAAAUGCAAUUUGGCAAUUGUUGAAGGACAGAUUUGGAGGAAUGUUCUCAAAUUAUGAAAGUUGUGUUGUUUAGAAAAGAAGUAGAAAAUCUCUCUGGGAAAUAUUUUCUAAAUAUUUCUUAUCUUUUCUGUGAAGAUCUAUGCUUGUAAAUCGAAUUGAAUGUUUUCGUGACUUAAACCUAGGUCAAGAUGGUUGUAAAUCCAUUUCUGACUCUACAAUAAAGUUUAUUAUGUCAAAAAA
This is a long non-coding RNA of Mus musculus (house mouse), 646 nucleotides long. RefSeq annotates it as predicted gene 7967. The record is from RefSeq and is marked validated. Lineage: Eukaryota; Metazoa; Chordata; Mammalia; Rodentia; Muridae. The transcript is spliced from 3 exons.